AAGUCGUAACAAGGUUUCCGUAGGUGAACCUGCGGAAGGAUCAUUAAAAAAUGAGGUAUGAAAUUGUAGCGAGCAUGCGAAAGCGAUUGCCUGUGGCCAGCGUGUCGCAGCAGUCCGAGUAGUGGCAAGCGAAAAUUAUAACCGAUUGAAUCACUCUGUGCGGUGGAUCAUUCGGCUCGUGG
Molecule: unclassified non-coding RNA, 182 nt
Filed under: fungal sp.
Lineage: Eukaryota; Fungi
Description: partial internal transcribed spacer region
Rfam family: Eukaryotic small subunit ribosomal RNA (bases 1-46)
Source: RNAcentral